Molecule: ribosomal RNA, 784 nt
Filed under: actinobacterium 01Q8Q
Lineage: Bacteria; Bacillati; Actinomycetota; Actinomycetes
Description: bacterial SSU rRNA
Rfam family: Bacterial small subunit ribosomal RNA
Source: RNAcentral
AACACGUGGGCAAUCUGCCCUUCACUCUGGGACAAGCCCUGGAAACGGGGUCUAAUACCGGAUAACACUGCGGAUCGCAUGGUCUGCGGUUGAAAGCUCCGGCGGUGAAGGAUGAGCCCGCGGCCUAUCAGCUUGUUGGUGGGGUGAUGGCCUACCAAGGCGACGACGGGUAGCCGGCCUGAGAGGGCGACCGGCCACACUGGGACUGAGACACGGCCCAGACUCCUACGGGAGGCAGCAGUGGGGAAUAUUGCACAAUGGGCGAAAGCCUGAUGCAGCGACGCCGCGUGAGGGAUGACGGCCUUCGGGUUGUAAACCUCUUUCAGCAGGGAAGAAGCGAAAGUGACGGUACCUGCAGAAGAAGCGCCGGCUAACUACGUGCCAGCAGCCGCGGUAAUACGUAGGGCGCAAGCGUUGUCCGGAAUUAUUGGGCGUAAAGAGCUCGUAGGCGGCUUGUCGCGUCGGAUGUGAAAGCCCGGGGCUUAACCCCGGGUCUGCAUUCGAUACGGGCAGGCUAGAGUGUGGUAGGGGAGAUCGGAAUUCCUGGUGUAGCGGUGAAAUGCGCAGAUAUCAGGAGGAACACCGGUGGCGAAGGCGGAUCUCUGGGCCAUUACUGACGCUGAGGAGCGAAAGCGUGGGGAGCGAACAGGAUUAGAUACCCUGGUAGUCCACGCCGUAAACGUUGGGAACUAGGUGUUGGCGACAUUCCACGUCGUCNGNGCCGCAGCUAACGCAUUAAGUUCCCCGCCUGGGGAGUACGGCCGCAAGGCUAAAACUCAAAUGA